UACGUAGGAUCCAAGCGUUAUCCGGAAUCAUUGGGUUUAAAGGGUCCGUAGGUGGACGGUUAAGUCAGGGGUGAAAGUCUGCAGCUCAACUGUAGAAUUGCCCUUGAUACUGGUCGUCUUGAAUCAUUGUGAAGUGGUUAGAAUAUGUGGUGUAGCGGUGAAAUGCAUAGAUAUCACAUAGAAUACCGAUUGCGAAGGCAGAUCACUAACAAUGCAUUGACACUGAUGGACGAAAGCGUGGGGAGCGAACAGG
This 253-nucleotide ribosomal RNA is filed under the name uncultured Flavobacteriaceae bacterium. RNAcentral's name for it is "partial 16S ribosomal RNA". It matches the Rfam family "Bacterial small subunit ribosomal RNA", at positions 524 to 776 of the family's 1533-position model. Lineage: Bacteria; Pseudomonadati; Bacteroidota; Flavobacteriia; Flavobacteriales; Flavobacteriaceae. The record is from RNAcentral.